This 896-nucleotide ribosomal RNA is filed under the name Parapedobacter sp. Its description in RNAcentral is "bacterial SSU rRNA". It matches the Rfam family "Bacterial small subunit ribosomal RNA", at positions 45 to 940 of the family's 1533-position model. Lineage: Bacteria; Pseudomonadati; Bacteroidota; Sphingobacteriia; Sphingobacteriales; Sphingobacteriaceae. The record is from RNAcentral.
GGAAUUUAUACUGCAAGUCGAACGGGAUCCACCAGCUUGCUGGUGGUGAGAGUGGCGCACGGGUGCGUAACGCGUGAGCAACCUGCCCGUCCCAGGGGGAUAGCCCCUCGAAAGAGGGAUUAACACCGCAUAAAGUUAUAUACCGGCAUCGGUUGUAUAACCAAAUAUUUAUAGGGGACGGAUGGGCUCGCGUGGCAUUAGCUAGUUGGUAGGGUAACGGCUUACCAAGGCUAUGAUGCCUAGGGGCUCUGAGAGGAGAAUCCCCCACACUGGUACUGAGACACGGACCAGACUCCUACGGGAGGCAGCAGUAAGGAAUAUUGGUCAAUGGGCGGGAGCCUGAACCAGCCAUGCCGCGUGCAGGAGGACUGCCCUAUGGGUUGUAAACUGCUUUUGCACGGGAACAAACACCGGCACGCGUGCCGGCUUGAGUGUACCGUGAGAAUAAGGAUCGGCUAACUCCGUGCCAGCAGCCGCGGUAAUACGGAGGAUCCGAGCGUUAUCCGGAUUUAUUGGGUUUAAAGGGUGCGUAGGCGGCAUGCUAAGUCAGUGGUGAAAGACGGUGGCUCAACCAUCGCAGUGCCGUUGAUACUGGUGUGCUUGAAUGCGGAUGAGGUAGGCGGAAUGUGGCAAGUAGCGGUGAAAUGCAUAGAUAUGCCACAGAACACCGAUUGCGAAGGCAGCUUACCAAGGCGAUAUUGACGCUGAUGCACGAAAGCGUGGGGAUCGAACAGGAUUAGAUACCCUGGUAGUCCACGCCCUAAACGAUGAUGACUCGGUGUCGGCGAUAGAAUGCCGGCGCCCAAGCGAAAGCGUUAAGUCAUCCACCUGGGGAGUACGCCCGCAAGGGUGAAACUCAAAGGAAUUGACGGGGGCCCGCACAAGCGGAGGAGCAU